CCACUGUCAACCUCAAAGGCUGCUGUGUGCUGUGUGUUAUAUUCUCCAGACUGGGCUCAGGAGAAGAGUCUCUGACUUGCCUCAUCUUUCUUCUCUAAGUCCAAGGCUGUGGUGAGAAACAAGCAUUCUGUGGGGUGCUGCUGGAGUGAGUUCGCCUUUGGAUUUUCAGGCUCCCACUGGAGAGCUAGGUGCUGCUUCUGACUGUGGGAGUGCCCAGGCUAGAGUCAAUGCCUCUUCAGCGCCCCCAGAGGAGAUGCCAACAGGAACACCCCUACCUGUGCUGCCAGGCAAGAAAGGGGUAAUCUCCCCAGCUGCUCUGCAAAGUUCCAGCUCACCUCACCUCAUCACCCACUCAGCUUCCAUCUAUAAGAAGCAGAGCAGAAGUUGCAGAAGGGUUGAGAUGGGAGGACCAGACCCGUCCGAGACUGUGAGUCACACUUGACUCCCUCACAACCCCAGGAUCGCUACUCUCUGUCUCACUUGGUUUCUUUCCUUUGUCCCCAUGGUUUUCUAAGAGUUAAUGCCCAUGUGGCUCUGUCCUGACAAGUUCUUUUGGCCUUUUCUCUAAUUUCCUCUGGGUUUAGGGUAAUAGAUCUCUUUUUCCCCCUUUUUGAGAUCAAGAAGGAGGAGAG
This is a long non-coding RNA of Peromyscus eremicus (cactus mouse), 632 nucleotides long. RefSeq lists it as uncharacterized. The transcript has 3 exons. Lineage: Eukaryota; Metazoa; Chordata; Mammalia; Rodentia; Cricetidae. The record is from RefSeq and is a predicted model, not a curated record.